UGACGGUACCUGACUAAGAAGCCCCGGCUAACUACGUGCCAGCAGCCGCGGUAAUACGUAGGGGGCAAGCGUUAUCCGGAUUUACUGGGUGUAAAGGGAGCGUAGACGGUACGGCAAGUCUGAUGUGAAAACCCGGGGCUCAACCUCGGGACUGCAUUGGAAACUGUCGAACUAGAGUGUCGGAGAGGUAAGUGGAAUUCCUAGUGUAGCGGUGGAAUGCGUAGAUAUUAGGAGGAACACCAGUGGCGAAGGCGACUUACUGGACGAUUACUGACGUUGAGGCUCGAAAGCGUGGGGAGCAAACAGGAUUAGAUACCCUG
RNAcentral lists this ribosomal RNA (320 nucleotides) under uncultured bacterium. RNAcentral describes it as "bacterial SSU rRNA". It matches the Rfam family "Bacterial small subunit ribosomal RNA", at positions 470 to 789 of the family's 1533-position model. The record is from RNAcentral.